This 372-nucleotide unclassified non-coding RNA is filed under the name uncultured Flavobacteriaceae bacterium. Its description in RNAcentral is "contains 16S-23S intergenic spacer region". Lineage: Bacteria; Pseudomonadati; Bacteroidota; Flavobacteriia; Flavobacteriales; Flavobacteriaceae. The record is from RNAcentral.
UCACGGUUUGCACCGGCAGUCUUGUUAGAGUUCCCACCAUUAUGUGCUGGCAACUAACAACAGGGGUUGCGCUCGUUAUAGGACUUAACCUGACACCUCACGGCACGAGCUGACGACAACCAUGCAGCACCUUGCAACUUGCCCGAAGGAGGAGGUGUUUCCACCCCUGUCAAGCUGCAUUUAAGCCCUGGUAAGGUUCCUCGCGUAUCAUCGAAUUAAACCACAUGCUCCACCGCUUGUGCGGGCCCCCGUCAAUUCCUUUGAGUUUCAUUCUUGCGAACGUACUCCCCAGGUGGGUUACUUAUCACUUUCGCUUAGCCACUCAACCUUGCGGUCGAACAGCUAGUAACCAUCGUUUACGGCGUAGACUAC